RNAcentral lists this unclassified non-coding RNA (232 nucleotides) under uncultured fungus. Its description in RNAcentral is "sequence contains ITS1, 5.8S rRNA gene". The record is from RNAcentral. Lineage: Eukaryota; Fungi.
GUAUUGUAUUGCGUUAAACGCGACAUACAUUCCAUGAGACUUCGUUACGGUGUGUGUGUAGAGACGUAGGACCACGGCAAGAGGGCGGAGCCCUCGAGGCCAUAGAACUACAGAGGGUGCACAGGUGUGAGUGGAUGCGUAAACAGAGCGUGCACGUGCCCCCUUUCGAGGACCAGCAACAACUCGUGUCGACGGUUCGGUAAUGAUCCUUCCGCAGGUUCACCUACGGAAA